Long non-coding RNA from Camelus dromedarius (Arabian camel), 1672 nucleotides. Lineage: Eukaryota; Metazoa; Chordata; Mammalia; Artiodactyla; Camelidae. The record is from Ensembl.
GAAUCUGCCACUAUUGAAAUGAGUUAACUUGCAUUUAUUCCAAAUAACCUCGUUUACUCAACUGUAUGCGAAUUGUAUAAGGUUUCUCAUGCCCAAGCUUAAAAAGUGAUUCCCAGUAGACGAGGUGGCUGCCCGUCCUAAAGUUGUGGUAUUUAUUUGUGCAGAAAGAUCUUCCCAGAAUUCUUUGCUUGCCGCUGAUCCAACACCGUGGCAGCCGCGAGCGGAGCCGGGAGGCGGAGGUGGCUGGUGCAGGACGGUGGCUGCGGGAGGUGGUGACACCGUCGCCAAGUCGAGCAGAGACUGGGUGACGGCACCGUCUGUGGGAUUUUGCCCUUGGUUUACUGGUUUUACUCAAUCUGUAUGCAUGGACUCUAACCCUCUGCCACACGUGCGUCCACCGACGGGCAUUACUACCGUGUCCUAUGUAGGGUCAGCUGCGUCCCGCAACACGCAGAAUGCUGUGUUUAGCCUUGUUUUUCCAGAGUUGUGUUUUUUCAGUCAUUUCUUCAAGGGAAACUAAAUGAUUUAGCUGGAGCAAAGCUUUAAGUGUGUCAGUGUGCCUCUGUGUGGCUGUGCUCUGUUGCCAAGUCUGCAAAUCAUGGUGAGACCCAGAGGCCCCCGGGACCCGCUGCCCGAGGCCACGUGGUUUGCCCUGCUUACUCUUUGAGUUUUUAGGCUCCAGAGGGAGGUAAUUUUUCUAAGCUGGGGUUGUGGGGUGGAGGGUGGGCACUGGCUCUCCCUCCCCUGGAACUGCCCCCUCCUGGCACCUGCACGCCCCGGCCACCGGGCCCAGGCGCCCGCUGCCCGGCCCCGCCCCGGUCUGGGGGUGGUGGGGCGUGGAUCGGGGUGCUUGUCCCCAGGCCCCCCGCGGUGCAGCUGCAGUCGGAGCCCUCUUCAGGAAAAGGGAGGAGAGGGGUCUGUCUCGCAGGCUGCCGGCCCUCCCUGUGCGUGACGCCCGUUAUCGGAAUGGUUGUGUGUUCGGUGUAACCGCCCAUUGUUUCCACGCUGAAAGGGUUUUAACGAAGGGAAAGAAACCACAGCAAUAACACUCAUCCACGGAGCAGCUAACUCAGAACAUUCUGCUUUUCCUGCAGAAGCAGCCGGUGUGAUAAAGCCCGGCGUGUAAAUAGCUUUCCUUUUACACUCGUGUGUCAUGCGUGUGUAUGGUGGUUCCUUUUCAGGUCUCCCUUCUUACCUGGUAGCUGUCCUGUUUUCCGGGCUGUUUUUAACCUAGGAGGAACACGCCCCGGGGCACCGAGCCCACCGGUUCCUCCCACCCCACCCAACCUGCGGGCCCGGGGCCGUCUUGUUCUCGCUUUAAGUCAGGAGUCACAAACGACACUUUUUUUUCAAUUAAGGAAAAACCCACAGCUCCACCUGCGAACCCGCCAGGAGCGCCUGCAUCUCGCCCGGUCUCUCCUUCGCUGCUGCUAAUGACGUCAUGAGGACUUACGCUACUACUCGAGAACUAUUUUUAUGUAAUUAAUGUAUGCUUUCUUGUUUAUAAAUGCCUGAUUUAAAAAGAAAACAAAGAAAAAGCUUGGCAUAUUUAUCUAUUUCUCUGUGUACCCAUUAGUCCUUUGGCGCCCCUCCCCCAGAAAAAUGUUCAGUACAGGACUGAGCGCAUGCUUGGCCACCCGGACCCCUCUCCUGGACUCCUUGUCCGCCUUCC